RNAcentral lists this ribosomal RNA (429 nucleotides) under Bacteroidota bacterium. RNAcentral describes it as "Bacteroidetes bacterium partial 16S ribosomal RNA". It matches the Rfam family "Bacterial small subunit ribosomal RNA", at positions 355 to 776 of the family's 1533-position model. Lineage: Bacteria; Pseudomonadati; Bacteroidota. The record is from RNAcentral.
UAGGGAAUCUUCCGCAAUGGACGCAAGUCUGACGGAGCAACGCCGCGUGAGUGAAGAAGGAUUUCGGUUCGUAAAACUCUGUUGUUAGAGAAGAACAGCGCAUAGAGUAACUGUUAUGCGUGUGACGGUAUCUAACCAGAAAGCCACGGCUAACUACGUGCCAGCAGCCGCGGUAAUACGUAGGUGGCAAGCGUUGUCCGGAUUUAUUGGGCGUAAAGCGAGCGCAGGCGGUCAAUUAAGUCUGAUGUGAAAGCCCCCGGCUCAACCGGGGAGGGUCAUUGGAAACUGGUUGACUUGAGUGCAGAAGAGGAGAGUGGAAUUCCAUGUGUAACGGUGAAAUGCGUAGGUAUAUGGAGGAACACCAGUGGCGAAGGCGACUCUCUGGUCUGUAACUGACGCUGAGGUUCGAAAGCGUGGGGAGCGAACAGG